CCCUUAGACGUUCUGGGCCGCACGCGCGCUACACUGACCAGUGCAACAAGCAUCCGUCCUUGGCCGACAGGCCCGGGCAAUCUUUGAACGCUGGUCGUGAUGGGGAUAGACUUUUGCAAUUUUUGGUCUUCAACGAGGAAUUCCUAGUAAACGCAAGUCAUCAACUUGCAUUGAUUACGUCCCUGCCCUUUGUACACACCGCCCGUCGCUCCUACCGAUUGAAUGCUCAGGUGAGCCAUUCGGACUUUCAUCAUGCUGGUUUCCAGUUUUGAUGAAGGAAAGUCUUGCGAAUCUUAUCAUUUAGAGGAAGGAGAAGUCAUAACA
This 324-nucleotide ribosomal RNA is filed under the name uncultured eukaryote. RNAcentral's name for it is "partial 18S ribosomal RNA". It matches the Rfam family "Eukaryotic small subunit ribosomal RNA", at positions 1470 to 1796 of the family's 1831-position model. The record is from RNAcentral.